CAGCCCUCCGCAGGGGAGCCACACCUGCCCCCCCAGGCAGCUUUGACCUCCCAGUUGCCUGGCUUCGCUCUGCCCCUGUCCCUGCCCCACGGCCAGGGCCUGCAGUGCUCUCAGCAGCUGCUUCUCCGCUUGUGCACGUGUCCGGGAGCCCUGGAGAUGCACUGUCACCUUCGCUCCUGUCCCUGGUACCCUGCCCGUGGUGACAAGGCUGUAUGGGUAAAAGUCCCAUUGUCUUGAGGCCACCCCCCCCAGUGGACUCUGUCUUCAGCCUUCCUCCUGCCAGGCUCGAGGACAGGGUUUGCGCUCAGGGUGGACCUCCCGGACCCUGGCCACUCUGGGACCCCCCGUGGAGGGACCAGCGACGGGCCACAGUCCGCGUUUUUGUGGGUCUUUUGGUUCACAGCCUCUGUCACGUGUUUUGUGUUCAUCUUCCUUUUAGGUUCUUGGUUCCUCCAAGGAGAUGUGGCACAAGUGGCCGAAGGAUGUUUUGCAGCUGGCCCUGGGGAAUCAGGUCCCAGCAGGUGCAGCAGACCUCGACGUGGAAAUAGCCAGCGUGACCAUGUCAGUGUCCCCUGUGGGGCUGGGGGUCAUGGGGGUGGCGGGUGCAGACCGCUCAGCCCUCCCGUCUUCACACUAUUCAGGCAACAGACUCCUCUGAGCUGUGCAGCUGCGGGUGUGGACGAGGGCCAGGUGCAGGACGGGCUGCCGCCCCUCUCUGAGCCUGCCAGCCUGCUGCCCCGGUCCCCAGGCCGGCGUCCCUGCAAGGCCCUGAGGCUGUCCCCAGUGUGGCCUCCCUGCUCUCGGCAGCCACCCUCCCCCCUGGUGAGCGAGGAGCCUCAGAGCUGCCUGGGCCAGGUUGGGCCCCCAGCGCAGGAGAGUGACGUGGCCGUGACGCCGGGCGCCAGGUGGGUGCCCCGUGGGGUGUGCACGUGGGUGCCGGCGGCUCACGGGCCGCCCGCACCCUGCCUGGGCCGGCUGCCCUUCGCGUCCUCCGUGUCGGCUGGCUCAGCCUGGCUCUGCCGGCUGGCUUUCUGAUGUGUGUUUCUGCAAGUCUGUUGUCUCCCUAAUUGUCUUCU
RNAcentral lists this long non-coding RNA (1076 nucleotides) under Sus scrofa (pig). Its description in RNAcentral is "lncRNA (ENSSSCG00050032470.1)". Lineage: Eukaryota; Metazoa; Chordata; Mammalia; Artiodactyla; Suidae. The record is from RNAcentral.